RNAcentral lists this non-coding RNA (30 nucleotides) under Mus musculus (house mouse). Lineage: Eukaryota; Metazoa; Chordata; Mammalia; Rodentia; Muridae. The record is from RNAcentral.
UNCUAUGCCACCAUGUUGCCGGUCCAUAGC